This 1969-nucleotide long non-coding RNA is filed under the name Homo sapiens (human). RNAcentral describes it as "non-protein coding lnc-CDON-2:5". The record is from RNAcentral. Lineage: Eukaryota; Metazoa; Chordata; Mammalia; Primates; Hominidae.
AGAAAUCCCUUAGCUUACCACAGAGCAGAACCCCCAGAGGACCAGGACUCCCAAUGUCCCCCCAUUCCCCACCCGCCAGGAGAGAGCUUACCUCUCCCUCUUCCCAGCUGAGACCCUUCUGUGUCCCUUUCUGCACCUCUGCCCCGCCGCCCCCUCUAGCUCUCAUGCCUUCAUAUUUCCCCUGCCUUACUCCUCCUUUCCACCCAGCUCAGCCCUGUCCUUCCUAAACCCUCCUUCAGGCUUGGUGUCUUUCAGUAGCCAAAUAAAUUUCAGAGCACGGAGAUGGGAGCCAGCACAGAUGAGGUCCAGGCAUUUUUUAAGGGGUAGAGUGAGAUCAGGAGUCACCCUGUUUCUUCCCUCCCCACCCAGACUCCACACAGCCCUGGGCUGUGAAUCACUGAUUCAAAAGGGCCAUGAAGUUAGGCAAAGGUGCAGAACUGUUAUGGGGCUGGAGGAACAUGCAGGUGGCAUGAGGGCCAUUUGGGUGACAGCAAGAGGAAGCAGCGCUGCUCACUCCUUCUCCAGGUAGGUACUUUGAGGGGUUAUGAAUUAGGAAUGUGGGUGUCAUAUAUUUGGGACCUAGCUUUGCAUGAACUUGAACUCAAAUGUUCUUCAACAUAACAGCUACAACCUCCCUGGGGGCCGCCCCUGACCCCCACCUCUCCUAAGAAAUUUGCAGCCUGGGCCAAGGUUUUUCUCUUUGGCUCCGCUUGGAAGUGCAAACCUUGUGGAUUUGAGAUGAAACAUAUGCUGUUCUGGAAUGUGGCUGUUAGCCAAGGGAAUGCUCAGAGGCCCCUGCAAAAUUUGUAGCCAUCUGCCUGGGGUUGAGCUGGGGGGGUUGUGACAGAGCAUUUGGGGCUGGGAAGGAGCCAUGGAGGCUGAGGGUACCUUCCGUUCCUCUACCCCACUUAGGACCAGUGCCUCUCUUAUCAUUCAAGUGGAUCUCAAUGUGCUGUAUUCCUCCCCUGGGGAGACCCAAACCAGACUCACCCUCAGAUGCCGUGGGCCGAGUGACUGGCUCCAAAGGGAACAGGUGCCAAUUAGAAUGGCAUUUUGCAUAUUCUUUGAAUGUUAUUCAUUUCCUGCCAAAAGACACAAACUUUCCCUCCUCCCUGCCCCCGUCCCGGGAACCCACAGUGUUUUCCGUUCUUCCUCUCCAGCUCUGUUCCACUCAUAGUCCCCGUUUCUCUGGGGAUUUUGCUGACCCUUCUUCUGGAGCUUCUCUUGGCCUCCCAGGCCCUGAUCAUCAAUGUGGAAACCCCCCAGUAGAUGCGUCUUCAGGCCCAGACUUCCCUCUUUGGAGUGGCCAGACAGCAAAUGCUCAGACCCCCUCCUCCCCGUCGAACAAGCUCAGAAAUCAGUUGCCCGGGAAGGCCCUGCCUGGACUUUCUUGAAUAGCUGCAGGUCUAGGCUGGAAAGCCCCUGAGGAGGACUUAUCACAGGGACUGGGUGUGUUGUGGGAGAGAGGCAGCUGGCAGAGGCCCCACCAAAUUAUGGGUUAAAGAGCUCCAUUUGAAAGCAUUUCUGGGAAGUUGUCAAGUGGAGAUGGGGGAGGCUUAGGGAAAUCUUAGGGAUUGAAAAGAACCCUGGAGAUGAUUUCAUUCAAUGCUGUUUAUUAUUAUUAAUAACAAUGGUUUUUAAAUUCAUUUUUAACUUCUGGAGAAUCUAAGACCUAGAGGAAGAAGGUCGGUUCCCCGGGGUCAUGGGGGUUAGCAGCCGAGCUGGAUGACAAGCCAGGACUGCCAACUCCCAGUCCAGCGCUGCUUUCACAGGACACUGUCUCUGUAAGUGCUCUUAGGAGAAUGUCACCAUGUCCCCAGCAUGCUGUGGAGGUGGCAGCUGCAUCAGUGGACCUGCUGCUUCCCUGGCCUUUGAGCUCCAAGCCCAGCCUCUGCCGAGACAGUCACUGAGGACGGCUAUUACCUGUCCCUCGGGUGAAUCCCAGAACCACACAGGGGGUGCAUCAGGC